This 374-nucleotide ribosomal RNA is filed under the name uncultured eukaryote. Its description in RNAcentral is "partial 18S ribosomal RNA". It matches the Rfam family "Eukaryotic small subunit ribosomal RNA", at positions 592 to 976 of the family's 1831-position model. The record is from RNAcentral.
CAAGAGCGUAUGUCAAAGUUGUUGCAGUUAAAAAGCUCGUAGUUGAACCUUGGGUUUGGUUGGCCGGUCCGCUUUUUUGCGAGUACUGGAUUCAACCGAGCCUUUCCUUCUGGCUAACCAGUCGUUUCGGCGGCUGGCGAACCAGGAUUUUUACUUUGAGAAAAUUAGAGUGUUCAAAGCAGGCAUUAGCUUGAAUAUAUUAGCAUGGAAUAAUAGAAUAGGACGUUAUGGUUCUAUUUUGUUGGUUUCUAGGACCAUCGUAAUGAUUAAUAGGGACGGUCGGGGGCAUCAGUAUUCAGUUGUCAGAGGUGAAAUUCUUGGAUUUACUGAAGACUAACUACUGCGAAAGCAUUUGCCAAGGACGUUUUCAUUAA